UCGAGAAUUUUUCACAAUGGGGGAAACCCUGAUGGAGCGACGCCGCGUGGAGGAUGAAGGCGUUUUCGUCGUAAACUCCUGUCAUGCGAGAACAAGAAAGUGAUAGUAUCGCAAGAGGAAGAGACGGCUAACUCUGUGCCAGCAGCCGCGGUAAUACAGAGGUCUCAAGCGUUGUUCGGAUUCAUUGGGCGUAAAGGGUGCGUAGGUGGCAUGGUAAGUUGAAGGUGAAAUCUCGGAGCUCAACUCCGAAACUGCCUUCAAUACUGCUGUGCUUGAGGACUGUAGAGGAGAAUGGAAUUCACGGUGUAGCAGUGAAAUGCGUAGAUAUCGUGAGGAAGACCAGUGGCGAAGGCGAUUCUCUGGGCAGUUCCUGACACUGAGGCACGAAGGCUAGGGGAGCAAACGGGAUUAGAUACCCCCGUAGUCC
Molecule: ribosomal RNA, 427 nt
Filed under: uncultured bacterium
Lineage: Bacteria
Description: bacterial SSU rRNA
Rfam family: Bacterial small subunit ribosomal RNA
Source: RNAcentral